RNAcentral lists this long non-coding RNA (6606 nucleotides) under Solanum lycopersicum (tomato). RNAcentral's name for it is "long non-coding RNA (SLYC_LNC000245)". The record is from RNAcentral. Lineage: Eukaryota; Viridiplantae; Streptophyta; Magnoliopsida; Solanales; Solanaceae.
AUAGACUUUAGAAACUUCCACUGCAUGAUAAAAACUCAAUAUAGAUCUAUUGACAUGUAUGAUCUACCCAUAGAAAAUGAUCAAACACAAAAAAUCAUGAACUAGGUUUUCAAAAUAUUCAUAUCAACAACCAUUAGCCUAAUAAGGGUAAAAAAAUGAAAGCAAGAAAGUAGAAAAAUUAGAGCUUUAACAGAAAAAAACACAACAGUACUCAGUAAUUAUUAGCGGGGAAGCAUUACAUUAAAAUAAUGAGCAAAUACGACAGGGAAAUAGUAAAACUAAAUAAAAGAAGCCAAUAAACCCACAACUCGCCCCGCAUUAGUUUUUCAAAAACAUAUUUCAACCCCCCCCCCUCCCCCACCUCCACACGCAUCACGCCCUUACAACCCGCCCCACAUUUGUUUUUCAAAAACAUAUUUCAACCACCACCACCACCACCCCGCCCCAUUGCCAUCCCUAGGUGCCUGAAAUGCAUUGACAACCCUAUUAAGAAAAGUGCAAUAAUUCAAUAUUGAUUAAGUAGUCAUUUGCCAGAGGUGUAACUAAACUGCAAAUGGAUGUUUUCAUCACAAUGUGACAACAUUACCUUCAGUUCGAAUGACUUAAUUACUUAACAUUACCUUCAAUUCAAAUGACUUAAUUACUUUUAGUCAAUAUUACCACGCAGACAUGGAGACAAAGGAGGUUUCUCUUAGAAUAACCUGAGUGAAAAGGAAACGGCGAGCAUUAUGACCUGAAAGAUAGAAACCUUAGCUUGUAAAUUGUUCUUUUUCUCAAUUCAAAUGCAGGUUCCUUACUAAUUGCUGAGACUUGAAAAAGAUAAGAGGUGAAAUGUCACUUAUGGACAAGGCAAAGUUAUAGUGGAUUGAAGGCAUAAGACAGGUACAAUAACAAAAGCAUGUAUGCACAUGUACCCCCAACUAAAGACACCAAAGAGUAAGAGGAAAACAACCUUACACAACAAGAGUCCAAAAAUAACUAACUAACCAAAGAGGAGGUAGGUUUUAAGACUUCGUUAUACGCAGGAGAUGUGGAAACCAAAGUAGGAAGGGAUAUUGAAAGCAUGUACAAAUAAGGAUAUAAAAAUUGAAAGAAGACAGUUGUAAUAACUUUUCAAGACAAAGGGCGUGCUACAAUUUAAAAUAAUGUUUGGCCUUGGGAUCUUUUGGAUACACUAGAAUAACCAUAGAUGUGAACAUCACUGGAAGGUUUUUGCUUAACCUAAAAUCACCAACUAGCAUGUGAGAAGGGCUCAAUCAAGGGACCACCACCACUAACAUAGUUUUAGAUUCCAUCAUUAGCAUGAGAAAAGGCAUUACCUAAUUCUAAUUAUCAAAAGUAACAAUAAUAGUUAGGCCACUUUGUACUCCAAUGUACUAAAGGUUGCAACUCACAAUAAGAAAAUCAGAAUACGAUGAAUAAUACCCCGUUCACUUCAGAUUUGCUUUAAAUAAGACAUCCUAUACAGAUAGAAAAGUAAUUAUUUCUAUGCAUUACAAAUAGAAAAUUCCCAUCAUUUGACUCAGAUUGAUCCUAAGUGGUUAUGAGAAGUCAAUUUAAAUGUCUCCUUAGUGGCUUCCUCCCAAAGUAAUAAUGAAAAUACAGACCUUGAAUGCAUAUGACGGAAGGCCAAAACCCAAGGUACAGUUUGAACCCCUUGAGUAGUUCAACAUACAAUGCAAAAUUGGUAAUACAUAAAACACAAAGGUAAAAGGAUAACAAGAAAGAACUGUCAUUAACAAAAACAUACGUGAACCAUAUUUACAAUUCAAUACCAAAAAAAUUUCAGGCCAGAAUAUAUCAGUAACCUAGGUUGCUCGGACUCUCCAAAAAUGUUACCACACCCAAUGUCAGAUCCUCCAAUAAUGCACUAUUUUUGGAGGAUCCAACAUGCUCUUGGUGGCAUGUUUGAAGAGUCUGAGCAACAUAGUCAGUAAUGUAAUAUUCAAGCAUAGUUCUUUAAGAAGGAGAAGUGGAUAUAUUAAUACAUUUGAUGUGAAGUGGAUAUGUUCUUACAUACUUGGAAAAAGGACAAACUGUAGCCACAACAGUUGGACCAGGAGAGCACACCUUAUUAGUCAAUGUAAAUAAUAUUCACCGUGCUUCAUUACAUGGCUCAACUCAAGUUCUAAACUUUCAACCACCAGUAACUCAGAAAUCCACCACCACCUCCAUCCCCUAUAAAUAUCCUUGUUCCUGGACACUCAAGUUAGUCUCUCUCAGUAUCUCCUUUCCUCUCUUCCACUCCCACUCUCUCUCUAUAUAUAUAUAUAUCUCCCUCUCUCUAUAUCUUUCAUAAGUGCACGUGAGUGGGUGGUAUUUGUGCAUGGAUACAGAAGCGCAUGCAGAAAAAGAAUUUAUACACAGUUAAGCUCUCUCUAUAACAGUCCAAAACAAGCAAACAAGAGGAAAGAGGAAGAAGCUUAAAGAAGAUGGCAGCAGAACAGACCCAAAAGCACCCGACAUUACCAGAGGUACGAACUACAGAAUCCUUUUAAAACAUUUGAAAUCACAGGAAAUAUGUGUAUUAAUCACCCUGACAAGCACAAUUUCCCUCCCAUAAUUUCUAGGUCAAGGAGGAAUUGAAGAAAAUAAUUGACAGAGGUUUUCCUAUUCUUGCUAUGGGCUUGGCGACCUAUUUGAAAAACAUGAUUUUAGUUAUGUGCAUGGGAAGGCUGGGAAGCUUGGAGCUGGCAGGGGGUGCACUGGCCAUUGGCUUCACCAAUAUUACUGGUUACUCCGUAUUGUCUGGCCUAGCCUUGGGGAUGGAACCACUUUCUAGCCAGGCUUUUGGAUCAAGAAACUUGACUUUAGUGUCUCUUGCCCUCCAAAGGACAAUCUUUAUGUUAUUAACUGCAUCUAUACCUAUUGCUUUUUUAUGGUUUAAUUUUGAGUCUCUCAUGCUUAAGCUACACCAAGACUCACAAAUAAUACAUGUAGCAAGUGUAUUUUGCAGAUUUGCUGUCCCGGAUCUUAUUGCUAACAGCUUUCUUCACCCUUUACGCAUCUACUUACGGUGUAAAGGUACAACAUGGCCUCUAUUAUGGUGUACUUCACUUGCAACAAUGCUGCAUUUCCCUAUCACAGUUUACCUGACUUUUACUCUCUGUCUUGGUAUCCAAGGAAUUGCAAUUUCAACCUUUGUCUCCAACUUUGUCACCUUAUUCUUCCUUUUAGGCUAUAUAUUCUUUACUUAUGACCAAGACGGAUCUCCGUCAAAACCCCUUGCAGAAAAUGUAAAACUUCUUCCUUCCAUUUCUGUGGGAGAGCAAUGGAUAAUGCUUCUUCAACUUGCUAUACCUAGCUGUUUAGCAGUUUGCUUAGAGUGGUGGUGGUAUGAAUUCAUGACAGUUCUAGCCGGCUACCUUGACAGACCUGAAGUUCCACUUGCUGCAUCUGCUAUCGUAAUACAAACCACAUCCCUCAUGUACACAUUGCCAUCGGCCCUAAGUGCUUCAGUCUCAAGUAGGGUAGGGAAUGAACUUGGAGCGGGACGACCAGCUAAGGCCCGCUUGGCAACAGGGAUAGCCAUAGGGCUGGCAUUUUUGACUUCAACAUUUGGAUUCAUACUGACCACCAUAGGGAGAGAAGCAUGGGGAAGAGUCUUUACAAAAGAUAGAGAAGUUCUGGAGCUAACAGCGACCGUUCUUCCCAUUAUUGGACUUUGUGAACUUGCUAAUUGUCCACAAACAACAUGUUGUGGGGUUCUUCGGGGGAGUGCUAGGCCCGGUGUUGGUGCAGGUAUUAACUUUUACUCAUUCUAUUUGAUGGGAACACCAGUGGCCAUUAUAUUGGCCUUCGUGUGGAAGCUAGGAUUUUUGGGCCUUUGUUAUGGGCUUCUAGCAGCUCAAGUGGCAUGUGUAAUCUCAAUGUUAAUAGUCACUUAUAGUACUGAUUGGGAAGGAGCAUCCUUGAAGGCAAAACAACUAGUGGGAAGAACUAAUGAACUCCCAUAUGAAGAUCAACUGGUAAAAAUUGAGGAGGGUAAUGGAUUUCUCAAACGAUUUAGCUUCUGAAGUGGAAGGAAAUCUAAGGAUGCAAUGGAUGCAAAGGAAAAGGAAGAGAUGGCACAGACAAGAAGAAAACAAAGAACAUUACAUUCUCUCAGUAUUUCAAGUAAUAGAAUAUGCAACAAGUACCUUGGACUUUUGACGUUAAAGCAACUAGUUUUAUAUCUAACAGGAUUGUUGAUGGGAUAAUAGAAGUAUAGGCAAGCAGAAGUGUGUUUUAUAGCCCAAACGUGUAAAUGUAAGAGGCUUUUGGUUUGCAUUUUCUAGAUGUCAAUAUAUGUUAUCUUAGUAGCUAUGACAUAUACAUUUGCAUGAGCUUCUAGUGUCUAUAUUAUAGUUAUCAGACUAACCAUCACAACAUGCUUCAAAUUCAAUGCACCCUCUCUCCCUCCUUAAAAUGUGAAGACAGAAAACGAGGCAUUUUAUCUCUGCAUUUGUGGGGCAUAAGCUCUAAGAGAAGAAGCAAAAGCCCUAUGAACUUCAAUUUUGGAUUAUCAAGUAUUAUUUGAAUAUUUAAAAGACACUUUAGGAGAAAAAAAUAUUCAUCGUCAGGGUAACAAUCUUAUAAAUGGAACAAUUUUGAAUAGAAAAUUAUACUUCUCUUGGAGAAAUCAAAUACAAAAGAGAUAGUUUUUUCUGAAGAUGUAAAGGUUUACUACAACACACAUUUAGCUCAUAACAUUGAUUUUGUCGUUUUCACCUUUACUCCAUUAUCUCUCACACAGUUAAGCAUUUUGUGUACUUGUAACUUGUAAAAGUCUAUAAUAAGACAUUAGCUCAAAUUAACAUUGAUUUUCCUUAGGAACCAAAACUUGAGAUGCAAAAGGAGCACUGAGUAGAGAGAUACAAAAAAACAGGGACUGCAAUGAGAGGCCAACAGGAAUAAAAAAAAAUUAAAGCCAUGGUGUGAUUAGAUAAUAUUGCCCUAAUGAGAGCCCACUGCCUUAUAACAUGUUGGUUAGUAUAUAUAUUUCAAAAUCAUAAGGUUAUAACUAUUUGUGGAAAAUGAAAAUUUGAAGAGACCAAGAGAAAAAUCUGAACAUAAGACACUAUGAAUUAUGCAAGAGCAUUAAACUACAAAUGUCAAAGACUUCCUCACUUCUUCCACAACGUUCAUAUAAAAAUACACAGAUUGUGCCCUGCCGAGCCCCUAUACACCCUCUUAUGGCUUCUGAAAUUCAGUGUUUAUACACAUUGGGAGGCAAACUACAUAAAGUGGAAAUGUAACUGACUCGGUAGCAAACAUGGUGUAACAACUGUUUUGUUAACUAGUGAGUUAUCACAACCACUGCAGUCUCUAAGUCGAGGGCAUUACAAGGAUACAAAUGGGGUAACCUAGAGUUCUGCGUUGUAAGGGACAGAAUAUCACAUAUACAACAGGAGCUAUGUCUAGAAUCCAAUAACUCACCACUAAAUUCAUGUGAUAUUUGGUCGUUUUCACCCUUUGUCAUGCUAUAUUAUUUCCAAAUGAAUUUAACUCAAGUUGUGUGCCUGCACCUGCUACUUUCUAUAUACAUCGAUCUAUGCUCUUUCUGCUCUAUCCUCCCUCUUUGUAGAUUUGAUCAGGCAAACGCCUUCCCCUUUUUGUUUUGAAUCCUUAUACCUGAACUCCAUAUUUUCUUUCCUCUGUGUAGAGUUGCAACAAUUCCAAUAUACUAUUAGCGUUUAACUACAUGACUCUUUUCUUUUACCUUCCUAUUCCCAAAAGCAAACAACCAUAAGUGCCUCAAAAGUGUAAAAAAGAAAAGAUCCUUCUCAAUAAUCCUUAACGACUAGGGAUAUUUGGAUAAAACUUUCAAUCUCUAAUUUAUCUUCCUUCAUUCACUUGCAAAUUGUUUUUUGUGUAAUACUCACCAUUCAGAUAGCUAGGUACUUCCAUUUUUAGCUAUUUAUUACGCACUUGAUGUUAAUGUAAGUCUCAACGCAUAGAACACAUUUUCGGAGAUCCAUUGAGUCUAAUUUGUACCAUUUAAAAGCAAAAGGAAAAAAAGGAGCUGAAUGUGGCACACCAAAACAGGAGAAAUUCAUCCACAACUAUAUAUAUGCUCAUUAAACACUCCAAUUUUAUUUUACGUAUUGACUGAGAGUCCAUGCAUUGUCUUGUAUUGUUGUAGUUUCUUGUAACUCGAUUAUCUUAUUAUUAUGCCUUAGUUACUGUUCAGAAUGCUUUGCUCUACUUUUUCUGGAUUGCCUUGAAUUGUUUUUUCCUUAAAGUUGAAAGUUUAUCGGAAACAACCCUCUACCUCAAUCUCGCCAGACUACACUUUGUGGGACUGACUACAUUGAGUCAAUGCUAGAAGAAAUAGAAUUUGUAGAAAUUUCAUAAUCAGAGCAGUUCAACUAAAGGAAAAUAACUGAGUAUAGCCCUAUUUUGAACUAAACGCAAUUUCAACUGUCAAUUUAUAACAACUAAAGAUUUUAAUUCUCCUAACAAACACGUAAAAGAAAUACAAUGCGAAAGAGAGAUGAAACGAGCUUACCGGUGAUCACAGAGGAUAAAUUAUCGGAGAUUCCACCGGACGGAGCUUAACGUCGGAGCAAAUUAGAUUUUCCAACGAAACAUUGUUACAAAAACGUGAUUUCACAGAUCGUCAAC